This 25-nucleotide unclassified non-coding RNA is filed under the name synthetic construct. The record is from RNAcentral.
ACCCUGAAGUUCAUCUGCACCACCG